UACGUAGGCAGCAAGCGUUGUUCGGAGUUACUGGGCGUAAAGGGUGUGUAGGCGGCCUUCUAAGUUUGGUGUGAAAUCUCCCGGCUCAACCGGGAGGGUGCGCCGAAGACUGGGGGGCUAGAGUAUGGGAUGGGAGAGUAGAAUUCCCGGUGUAGCGGUGAAAUGCGUAGAUAUCGGGAGGAAUACCUGUGGUGUAGACGGCUCUCUGGACCAUAACUGACGCUGAGACACGAAAGCGUGGGUAGCAAACAGG
This 253-nucleotide ribosomal RNA is filed under the name uncultured bacterium. RNAcentral describes it as "partial 16S ribosomal RNA". It matches the Rfam family "Bacterial small subunit ribosomal RNA", at positions 524 to 776 of the family's 1533-position model. The record is from RNAcentral. RNAcentral also lists the same sequence under 1 other name.